This 446-nucleotide ribosomal RNA is filed under the name uncultured bacterium. RNAcentral's name for it is "bacterial SSU rRNA". It matches the Rfam family "Bacterial small subunit ribosomal RNA", at positions 330 to 792 of the family's 1533-position model. The record is from RNAcentral.
UCCAGACUCCUACGGGAGGCAGCAGUGGGGAAUAUUGCACAAUGGGGGAAACCCUGAUGCAGCGACGCCGCGUGAGUGAAGAAGUAUUUCGGCAUGUAAAGCUCUAUCAGCAGGGAAGAAAAAAGACGGUACCUGACUAAGAAGCCCCGGCUAACUACGUGCCAGCAGCCGCGGUAAUACGUAGGGGGCAAGCGUUAUCCGGAAUUACUGGGUGUAAAGGGUGCGUAGGUGGCAUGGUAAGUCAGAAGUGAAAGCCCGGGGCUUAACCCCGGGACUGCUUUUGAAACUGUCAUGCUGGAGUGCAGGAGAGGUAAGCGGAAUUCCUAGUGUAGCGGUGAAAUGCGUAGAUAUUAGGAGGAACACCAGUGGCGAAGGCGGCUUACUGGACUGUCACUGACACUGAUGCACGAAAGCGUGGGGAGCAAACAGGAUUAGAUACCCGAGUA